UACGGGAGGCAGCAGUAGGGAAUCUUCCACAAUGGACGAAAGUCUGAUGGAGCAAUGCCGCGUGAGUGAAGAAGGUUUUCGGAUCGUAAAACUCUGUUGUUGAAGAAGAACAUAUGUGAGAGUAACUGUUCACGUACUGACGGUAUUCAACCAGAAAGCCACGGCUAACUACGUGCCAGCAGCCGCGGUAAU
Molecule: ribosomal RNA, 192 nt
Filed under: uncultured Lactobacillus sp.
Lineage: Bacteria; Bacillati; Bacillota; Bacilli; Lactobacillales; Lactobacillaceae
Description: partial 16S ribosomal RNA
Rfam family: Bacterial small subunit ribosomal RNA
Source: RNAcentral